GUGGGGUGACGGUCCACCAAGGCGACGACGGGUAGCCGGCCUGAGAGGGCGACCGGCCACACUGGGACUGAGACACGGCCCAGACUCCUACGGGAGGCAGCAGUGGGGAAUAUUGCACAAUGGGCGCAAGCCUGAUGCAGCGACGCCGCGUGAGGGAUGACGGCCUUCGGGUUGUAAACCUCUUUCAGCAGGGAAGAAGCGCGAGUGACGGUACCUGCAGAAGAAGCACCGGCUAACUACGUGCCAGCAGCCGCGGUAAUACGUAGGGUGCGAGCGUUGUCCGGAAUUAUUGGGCGUAAAGAGCUCGUAGGCGGCCUGUCGCGUCGGAUGUGAAAGCCCGGGGCUUAACCCCGGGUCUGCAUUCGAUACGGGCAGGCUAGAGUUCGGUAGGGGAGACUGGAAUUCCUGGUGUAGCGGUGAAAUGCGCAGAUAUCAGGAGGAACACCGGUGGCGAAGGCGGGUCUCUGGGCAGUAACUGACGCUGAGGAACGAAAGCGUGGGUAGCGAACAGGAUUAGAUACCCUGGUAGUCCGCGCCGUAAACGGUGGGCGCUAGGUGUGGGUUCCUUCCACGGAAUCCGUGCCGUAGCUAACGCAUUAAGCG
Molecule: ribosomal RNA, 603 nt
Filed under: uncultured Actinomycetes bacterium
Lineage: Bacteria; Bacillati; Actinomycetota; Actinomycetes
Description: bacterial SSU rRNA
Rfam family: Bacterial small subunit ribosomal RNA
Source: RNAcentral